GACGAACGCUGGCGGCGUGCUUAACACAUGCAAGUCGAACGGUGAAGGGACCAGCUUGCUGGUUCUGGAUGAGUGGCGAACGGGUGAGUAACACGUGAGUAACCUGCCCCCUUCUUCUGGAUAACCGCAUGAAAGUGUGGCUAAUACGGGAUAUUCUGGGUCUGUCGCAUGGCGGGCCCGGGAAAGAUAUUGCUUCGGUGGGGGAUGGGCUCGCGGCCUAUCAGCUUGUUGGUGGGGUGAUGGCCUACCAAGGCGGUGACGGGUAGCCGGCCUGAGAGGGGGGACGGUCACACUGGGACUGAGACAAGGCCCACACUCCUACGGGAGGCAGCAGUGGGGAAUACAGCACAGUGGGAGCAAGCCUGAUGCAGCGACGCCGCGUGAGGGAUGGAGGCCUUCGGGUUGUAGACCUCUUUCGCCAGUGAAGCAGGCCUGCUCCUUGUGGGUGGGUUGACGGUAGCUGGAUAAGAAGCGCCGGCUAACUACGUG
Molecule: ribosomal RNA, 489 nt
Filed under: uncultured bacterium
Lineage: Bacteria
Description: partial 16S ribosomal RNA
Rfam family: Bacterial small subunit ribosomal RNA
Source: RNAcentral